GGCAGCAUAGCAUAGUGGUUAAGGAGCUGGACUUGUAACCAAAAGGUUGCUGGUUUGAUUCCAGCUGGGGCAU
Non-coding RNA from Megalops atlanticus (tarpon), 73 nucleotides. Lineage: Eukaryota; Metazoa; Chordata; Actinopteri; Elopiformes; Megalopidae. The record is from the annotation of a GenBank genome assembly.